Molecule: ribosomal RNA, 453 nt
Filed under: uncultured bacterium
Lineage: Bacteria
Description: bacterial SSU rRNA
Rfam family: Bacterial small subunit ribosomal RNA
Source: RNAcentral
UACGGGAGGCAGCAGUGGGGAAUAUUGCACAAUGGGCGCAAGCCUGAUGCAGCCAUGCCGCGUGUAUGAAGAAGGCCUUCGGGUUGUAAAGUACUUUCAGUCGUGAGGAAGGUGUUAAGGUUAAUAACCUUAGCAAUUGACGUUAGCGACAGAAGAAGCACCGGCUAACUCCGUGCCAGCAGCCGCGGUAAUACGGAGGGUGCGAGCGUUAAUCGGAAUUACUGGGCUAAAGGGCACGCAGGCGGUUAAUUAAGUUGGAUGUGAAUCCCGGGCUUAACCUGGGAAUGGCAUUCAAGACUGGUUAGCUAGAGUCUUGUAGAGGGGGUAGAAUUCCGAUGUGUAGCGGUGAAAUGCGUAGAGAUGUGGAGGAAUCCGGGUGGCGAAGGCGGCCCCUGGGACAAAGGCUGACGCUCAUGUGCGAAAGCGUGGGGAGCGAAACAGGGAUUAGAUACC